CCACUUUCCUCCUGGAUUAGUGGCGAACGGGUGAGUAACACGUGAGUAACCUGCCCUUGACUCUGGGAUAAGCCUGGGAAACUGGGUCUAAUACCGGAUAUGACCUUCCAUCGCAUGGUGGUUGGUGGAAAGCUUUUGUGGUUUUGGAUGGACUCGCGGCCUAUCAGCUUGUUGGUGGGGUAAUGGCCUACCAAGGCGACGACGGGUAGCCGGCCUGAGAGGGUGACCGGCCACACUGGGACUGAGACACGGCCCAGACUCCUACGGGAGGCAGCAGUGGGGAAUAUUGCACAAUGGGCGCAAGCCUGAUGCAGCGACGCCGCGUGAGGGAUGACGGCCUUCGGGUUGUAAACCUCUUUCAGUAGGGAAGAAGCGUAAGUGACGGUACCUGCAGAAGAAGCGCCGGCUAACUACGUGCCAGCAGCCGCGGUAAUACGUAGGGCGCAAGCGUUAUCCGGAAUUAUUGGGCGUAAAGAGCUCGUAGGCGGUUUGUCGCGUCUGCCGUGAAAGUCCGGGGCUCAACUCCGGAUCUGCGGUGGGUACGGGCAGACUAGAGUGAUGUAGGGGAGACUGGAAUUCCUGGUGUAGCGGUGAAAUGCGCAGAUAUCAGGAGGAACACCGAUGGCGAAGGCAGGUCUCUGGGCAUUAACUGACGCUGAGGAGCGAAAGCAUGGGGAGCGAACAGGAUUAGAUACCCUGGUAGUCCAUGCCGUAAACGUUGGGCACUAGGUGUGGGGGACAUUCCACGUUUUCCGCGCCGUAGCUAACGCAUUAAGUGCCCCGCCUGGGGAGUACGGCCGCAAGGCUAAAACUCAAAGGAAUUGACGGGGGCCCGCACAAGCGGCGGAGCAUGCGGAUUAAUUCGAUGCAACGCGAAGAACCUUACCAAGGCUUGACAUGAACCGGAAAGAUCUGGAAACAGGUCCCCCACUUGUGGUCGGUUUACAGGUGGUGCAUGGUUGUCGUCAGCUCGUGUCGUGAGAUGUUGGGUUAAGUCCCGCAACGAGCGCAACCCUCGUUCUAUGUUGCCAGCACGUGAUGGUGGGGACUCAUAGGAGACUGCCGGGGUCAACUCGGAGGAAGGUGGGGACGACGUCAAAUCAUCAUGCCCCUUAUGUCUUGGGCUUCACGCAUGCUACAAUGGCCGGUACAAAGGGUUGCGAUACUGUGAGGUGGAGCUAAUCCCAAAAAGCCGGUCUCAGUUCGGAUUGGGGUCUGCAACUCGACCCCAUGAAGUCGGAGUCGCUAGUAAUCGCAGAUCAGCAACGCUGCGGUGAAUACGUUCCCGGGCCUUGUACACACCGCCCGUCAAGUCACGAAAGUUGGUAACACCCGAAGCCGGUGGCCUGUCCUA
This 1354-nucleotide ribosomal RNA is filed under the name Arthrobacter sp. MM35(2011). RNAcentral's name for it is "bacterial SSU rRNA". It matches the Rfam family "Bacterial small subunit ribosomal RNA", at positions 80 to 1442 of the family's 1533-position model. Lineage: Bacteria; Bacillati; Actinomycetota; Actinomycetes; Micrococcales; Micrococcaceae. The record is from RNAcentral.